Molecule: long non-coding RNA, 1292 nt
Organism: Tribolium madens (black flour beetle)
Lineage: Eukaryota; Metazoa; Arthropoda; Insecta; Coleoptera; Tenebrionidae
Exons: 3
Source: RefSeq, a predicted model, not a curated record
UUCACCUGGUAUAAUUUUAUAAUGUACGACAUAAAUUUUGAAUAAUCAAGUAAUUGUGUUCCCUUCACUUUAUUAACAACAUUCUAAAAACAUAUUUCAUGAAAAUCCGUUCCGAUUGACUUUUCUUAAUCCAUUUUACAAUAACAAUAUUCAAAGAUAAACACUCCAAGGCCAACAACAAAAAACGUCACAUCUCUGACGUACCAUCUACGUCAUUAAAAAUCAAUGGCACCCAAUUAUAAUUAUCGCAAAACUGUGAUAAUGUAUCCUCUCAGAUGUAAAAUAACAGCGUAACACUUUUUUUUCAAUUCAUUCUCAUAAAUUACAACUCACAUUUGCAUUAUAUUGCGAUUCGUGUCACCGAAUGAAUGUAAAGAUUACGAUUUUUUAGCAACGUUCCAAACAUGACGCAAAUAAACGCAAAUUGAAUAUUUAACUGUAAAUUAUUUGGUAGUUAUAAUUUAAUUUAUUUAAAGCGGUAUUUAGGUCCAAUAAAUCGAUAAAUCCUCCAGAUUUAAUUUUAAUAGUCCAAUCUGUGUUUUUUUGAUAACGACUGAUCCCAUUUUUGCAACAAUACAAAACGAAUAACCGUGAAAUAAACCAAAUUUGAUGAAAGUCGACAGAUUUAACCUUAUGCAAAAAUAUCGAUUUGUACAUUUUUUGCUAAUUUGAAUAUUAAACCGGCCCGCUACAAGUAAACAAAUACGACAUUUAAACAUAUUUUUUUAAUACUUAAUAGUUUAUUUAUGUUCGUAGAUAUUAUACAAACAAAAAAGAAAUUAACUAUAAAAGUGCAAUUUUAUUAAAAUAAGAGUUACAGGAAGUGUUGAAAUUUGGAUACGAGCAGCGUAGCGGCGAGUUGAACAAACGAUUGUUUGAAUGGAAGGGAAAGCAAACGACAGUAAAACCGAUCGUAAAAAUGGACACAUGUGUGCGCUUCUCCUUCACAAUGUAAACGCUUACGUCAAGAGAUUAAUUUUGAUCCACUAGAGAGAAUGCGUAACACCGAGGAGAAACUAUUACGGUGUCCGACUCUGCAUUUGCACCACGUCACUACACCUUGAACAAAUCAAACAUUGCGGCCGAUUUUAAUAGCUGGAUUAUAAAUAUAUGGCCGUAUUUAUGAAUAAUAAAAAUUCUACAAAAUGAAGGUUGCACAACUACAAAGGCUGAUUCACCAAAUUAACAUGUCGUUAAAAAAUUACUUUACCAUCUUUUUAAACUAAUGUUUCACAAAAUGGCCAAUUUAAAAAAAUGUUCAAUUGUAUUGAAAAUUAUUAUUUUCACUUACC